UGCAUAUCAAAAAAGCGGAGGAAAAGAAACCAACAGGGAUUGCCCCAGUAACGGCGAGUGAAGCGGCAACAGCUCAAAUUUGAAAUCUGGCCUCGGCCCGAGUUGUAAUUUGCAGAGGAUGCUUCUGGCGCGGCGCCUUCCGAGUUCCCUGGAACGGGACGCCACAGAGGGUGAGAGCCCCGUAUGGUCGGACGCCAAGCCAGUGUGAAGCUCCUUCGAAGAGUCGAGUAGUUUGGGAAUGCUGCUCUAAGCGGGAGGUAUACGUCUUCUAAAGCUAAAUACCGGCCAGAGACCGAUAGCGCACAAGUAGAGUGAUCGAAAGAUGAAAAGCACCUUGAAAAGGGGGUUAAACAGUACGUGAAAUUGUUGAAAGGGAAGCGCCUGUGACCAGACUUGCGCCGGGCGGAUCAUCCAGCGUUCUCGCUGGUGCGCUCCGCCCGGCUCAGGCCAGCAUCGGUUCUGGCGGGGGGAUAAAGGCGGCGGGAACGUGGCUCCCCCGGGAGUGUUAUAGCCCGCCGUGCAAUGCCCCCGCUGGGACCGAGGUUCGCGCAUCUGCAAGGAUGCUGGCGUAAUGGUCACCAGCGACCCGUCUUGAAACAACGGACCAAA
Molecule: ribosomal RNA, 609 nt
Filed under: Pleurostoma richardsiae
Lineage: Eukaryota; Fungi; Ascomycota; Sordariomycetes; Calosphaeriales; Pleurostomataceae
Description: LSU rRNA
Rfam family: Eukaryotic large subunit ribosomal RNA
Source: RNAcentral